UGUCAGUGAGCCUGAAGCAGCAGAUAGU
Molecule: non-coding RNA, 28 nt
Filed under: Rattus norvegicus (Norway rat)
Lineage: Eukaryota; Metazoa; Chordata; Mammalia; Rodentia; Muridae
Source: RNAcentral